UGGUGGAGUGAUUUGUCUGGUUAAUUCCGAUAACGAACGAGACCCCGUCCUACUUACUAGACUUGAGAUGAUUUUCAUCUCUUGAAUCUUCUUAGAGGGACAACUGGCGUAGAUCUAGCUACAUGAAAUGGGGCAAUAACA
This 141-nucleotide ribosomal RNA is filed under the name uncultured eukaryote. RNAcentral's name for it is "partial 18S ribosomal RNA". It matches the Rfam family "Eukaryotic small subunit ribosomal RNA", at positions 1299 to 1458 of the family's 1831-position model. The record is from RNAcentral.